RNAcentral lists this long non-coding RNA (231 nucleotides) under Setaria italica (foxtail millet). RNAcentral's name for it is "long non-coding RNA (SITA_LNC004764)". Lineage: Eukaryota; Viridiplantae; Streptophyta; Magnoliopsida; Poales; Poaceae. The record is from RNAcentral.
GCAUUUCCUCUUGCCUUCGUUGCCACCCUCUAGCUGUCACCGCGACUACGUCAGCGUGGCCGCUUGCCGCGGGCUUACCGCCGUCGCGAGGAGGUUCUCCAUGGACAGUGGGUGGGCAAGGGUCGCCCACUCGCUCGUUAAAGACGUGGCGGGGCGGGCGAGCGGCGGUUGCAGGCGCCGGCUGUAGAACUGGCAAGCGAGGGAACGGCCGCGGCGCCAAGCACGCAGGAC